AACGAACGCUGGCGGCAUGCCUAACACAUGCAAGUCGAACGAUGCCUUCGGGCAUAGUGGCGCACGGGUGCGUAACGCGUGGGAAUCUGCCCUUGGGUUCGGAAUAACAGUUGGAAACGACUGCUAAUACCGGAUGAUGACGUAAGUCCAAAGAUUUAUCGCCCGAGGAUGAGCCCGCGUCGGAUUAGCUAGUUGGUGGGGUAAAGGCCUACCAAGGCGACGAUCCGUAGCUGGUCUGAGAGGAUGAUCAGCCACAUUGGGACUGAGACACGGCCCAGACUCCUACGGGAGGCAGCAGUGGGGAAUAUUGGACAAUGGGCGCAAGCCUGAUCCAGCAAGGCCGCGUGAGUGAUGAAGGCCUUAGGGUUGUAAAGCUCUUUUACCCGGGAAGAUAAUGACUGUACCGGGAGAGUAAGCACCGGCUAACUUCGUGCCAGCAGCCGCCGUAA
RNAcentral lists this ribosomal RNA (449 nucleotides) under uncultured bacterium. Its description in RNAcentral is "partial 16S ribosomal RNA". It matches the Rfam family "Bacterial small subunit ribosomal RNA", at positions 29 to 523 of the family's 1533-position model. The record is from RNAcentral.